UCUUCACGGAUGCUGGCGUAAUGGUUUUCAGCGACCCGUCUUGAAACACGGACCAAGGAGUCGUCCUGCUAUGCGAGUGUUUGGGUGUUAAACCCCUACGCGAAAUGAAAGUGAACGGAGGUGAGAGCUUCGGCGCAUCAUCGACCGAUCCUGAUGUUCUCGGAUGGAUUUGAGUAAGAGCAUACCGGGCCGGACCCGAAAGAAGGUGAACUAUGCUUGGAUAGGGCGAAGCCAGAGGAAACUCUGGUGGAGGCUCGCAGCGGUUCUGACGUGCAAAUCGAUCGUCAAAUCUGAGCAUGGGGGCGAAAGACUAAUCGAACCUUCUAGUAGCUGGUUUCCACCGAAGUUUCCCUCAGGAUAGCAGUGCUGAUU
The sequence is a ribosomal RNA, 372 nucleotides long. It matches the Rfam family "Eukaryotic large subunit ribosomal RNA", at positions 614 to 992 of the family's 3401-position model.